This 1522-nucleotide ribosomal RNA is filed under the name metagenome. RNAcentral describes it as "bacterial SSU rRNA". It matches the Rfam family "Bacterial small subunit ribosomal RNA". The record is from RNAcentral.
AGAGUUUGAUCAUGGCUCAGAUUGAACGCUGGCGGCAGGCCUAACACAUGCAAGUCGAACGGUAACAGGAAGAAGCUUGCUUCUUUGCUGACGAGUGGCGGACGGGUGAGUAAUGUCUGGGAAACUGCCUGAUGGAGGGGGAUAACUACUGGAAACGGUAGCUAAUACCGCAUAACGUCGCAAGACCAAAGAGGGGGACCUUCGGGCCUCUUGCCAUCGGAUGUGCCCAGAUGGGAUUAGCUAGUAGGUGGGGUAACGGCUCACCUAGGCGACGAUCCCUAGCUGGUCUGAGAGGAUGACCAGCCACACUGGAACUGAGACACGGUCCAGACUCCUACGGGAGGCAGCAGUGGGGAAUAUUGCACAAUGGGCGCAAGCCUGAUGCAGCUAUGCCGCGUGUAUGAAGAAGGCCUUCGGGUUGUAAAGUACUUUCAGCGGGGAGGAAGGGAGUAAAGUUAAUACCUUUGCUCAUUGACGUUACCCGCAGAAGAAGCACCGGCUAACUCCGUGCCAGCAGCCGCGGUAAUACGGAGGGUGCAAGCGUUAAUCGGAAUUACUGGGCGUAAAGCGCACGCAGGCGGUUUGUUAAGUCAGAUGUGAAAUCCCCGGGCUCAACCUGGGAACUGCAUCUGAUACUGGCAAGCUUGAGUCUCGUAGAGGGGGGUAGAAUUCCAGGUGUAGCGGUGAAAUGCGUAGAGAUCUGGAGGAAUACCGGUGGCGAAGGCGGCCCCCUGGACGAAGACUGACGCUCAGGUGCGAAAGCGUGGGGAGCAAACAGGAUUAGAUACCCUGGUAGUCCACGCCGUAAACGAUGUCGACUUGGAGGUUGUGCCCUUGAGGCGUGGCUUCCGGAGCUAACGCGUUAAGUCGACCGCCUGGGGAGUACGGCCGCAAGGUUAAAACUCAAAUGAAUUGACGGGGGCCCGCACAAGCGGUGGAGCAUGUGGUUUAAUUCGAUGCAACGCGAAGAACCUUACCUGGUCUUGACAUCCACGGAAGUUUUCAGAGAUGAGAAUGUGCCUUCGGGAACCGUGAGACAGGUGCUGCAUGGCUGUCGUCAGCUCGUGUUGUGAAAUGUUGGGUUAAGUCCCGCAACGAGCGCAACCCUUAUCCUUUGUUGCCAGCGGUCCGGCCGGGAACUCAAAGGAGACUGCCAGUGAUAAACUGGAGGAAGGUGGGGAUGACGUCAAGUCAUCAUGGCCCUUACGACCAGGGCUACACACGUGCUACAAUGGCGCAUACAAAGAGAAGCGACCUCGCGAGAGCAAGCGGACCUCAUAAAGUGCGUCGUAGUCCGGAUUGGAGUCUGCAACUCGACUCCAUGAAGUCGGAAUCGCUAGUAAUCGUGGAUCAGAAUGCCACGGUGAAUACGUUCCCGGGCCUUGUACACACCGCCCGUCACACCAUGGGAGUGGGUUGCAAAAGAAGUAGGUAGCUUAACCUUCGGGAGGGCGCUUACCACUUUGUGAUUCAUGACUGGGGUGAAGUCGUAACAAGGUAACCGUAGGGGAACCUGCGGUUG